RNAcentral lists this ribosomal RNA (254 nucleotides) under uncultured bacterium. Its description in RNAcentral is "partial 16S ribosomal RNA". It matches the Rfam family "Bacterial small subunit ribosomal RNA", at positions 524 to 776 of the family's 1533-position model. The record is from RNAcentral.
GACGAACCGUGCGAACGUUGUUCGGAAUCACUGGGCUUAAAGGGCGCGUAGGCGGGCUGACAAGUCUGGGGUGAAAUGCCGCGGCUCAACCGUGGAACUGCCUUAGAUACUGUCGGCCUCGAGGAAGGUAGGGGCAUGCGGAACUGUAGGUGGAGCGGUGAAAUGCGUUGAUAUCUACAGGAACUCCGGUGGCGAAAGCGGCGUGCUGGACCUUUUCUGACGCUGAGUGAGCGAAAGCCAGGGGAGCAAACGGG